GACGAACGCUGGCGGCGUGCUUAACACAUGCAAGUCGAACGGAAAGGCCCUGCUUUUGUGGGGUGCUCGAGUGGCGAACGGGUGAGUAACACGUGAGUAACCUGCCCUUGACUUUGGGAUAACUUCAGGAAACUGGGGCUAAUACCGGAUAGGAGCUCCUGCUGCAUGGUGGGGGUUGGAAAGUUUCGGCGGUUGGGGAUGGACUCGCGGCUUAUCAGCUUGUUGGUGGGGUAGUGGCAUACCAAGGCUUUGACGGGUAGCCGGCCUGAGAGGGUGACCGGCCACAUUGGGACUGAGAUACGGCACAGACUCCUACGGGAGGCAGCAGUGGGGACUAUUGCACAAUGGGCGGAAGCCUGAUGCAGCAACGCCGCGUGCGGGAUGACGGCCUUCGGGUUGUAAACCGCUUUCGCCUGUGACGAAGCGUGAGUGACGGUAAUGGGUAAAGAAGCACCGGCUAACUACGUG
Molecule: ribosomal RNA, 468 nt
Filed under: uncultured bacterium
Lineage: Bacteria
Description: partial 16S ribosomal RNA
Rfam family: Bacterial small subunit ribosomal RNA
Source: RNAcentral